RNAcentral lists this ribosomal RNA (369 nucleotides) under uncultured Caulobacter sp. Its description in RNAcentral is "bacterial SSU rRNA". It matches the Rfam family "Bacterial small subunit ribosomal RNA", at positions 527 to 896 of the family's 1533-position model. The record is from RNAcentral. Lineage: Bacteria; Pseudomonadati; Pseudomonadota; Alphaproteobacteria; Caulobacterales; Caulobacteraceae.
GAAGGGGGCUAGCGUUGCUCGGAAUUACUGGGCGUAAAGGGAGCGUAGGCGGACUGUUAAGUUAGAGGUGAAAGCCCAGGGCUCAACCUUGGAAUUGCUUUUGAUACUGGCAGUCUUGAGUUCGGAAGAGGUAUGUGGAACUCCGAGUGUAGAGGUGAAAUUCGUAGAUAUUCGGAAGAACACCAGUGGCGAAGGCGACAUACUGGUCCGUUACUGACGCUGAGGCUCGAAAGCGUGGGGAGCAAACAGGAUUAGAUACCCUGGUAGUCCACGCCGUAAACGAUGAGUGCUAGUUGUCGGCAUGCAUGCAUGUCGGUGACGCAGCUAACGCAUUAAGCACUCCGCCUGGGGAGUACGGUCGCAAGAUUA